Molecule: unclassified non-coding RNA, 245 nt
Filed under: uncultured Verrucomicrobiae bacterium
Lineage: Bacteria; Pseudomonadati; Verrucomicrobiota; Verrucomicrobiia
Description: contains 16S-23S intergenic spacer region
Source: RNAcentral
UCCGGCUUAACGCCGGCAGUCCCCCUUUCAGGGUUCUACUACAUGCAUGUCAAGGCCAGGUAAGGUUCUUCGCGUUGCAUCGAAUUAAGCCACAUACUCCACCGCUUGUGCAGGCCCCCGUCAAUUUCUUUGAGUUUUAAUCUUGCGACCGUACUUCCCAGGCGGCUUGCUUAACGCGUUAGCUCCGCCACAAGAGGGGUCGAUUCCUCUUACAGCAAGCAAGCACCGUUUAGGGCUAGGACUAC